This 608-nucleotide ribosomal RNA is filed under the name Phlegmacium rosargutum. RNAcentral describes it as "eukaryotic LSU rRNA". The stretch from base 241 to 394 matches the Rfam family "5.8S ribosomal RNA". Lineage: Eukaryota; Fungi; Basidiomycota; Agaricomycetes; Agaricales; Cortinariaceae. The record is from RNAcentral.
CAUUAUUGAAAUAAAUCUGAUGAGUUGCUGCUGGUUCUCUAGGGAGCAUGUGCACACUUGUCAUCUUUAUAUCUCCACCUGUGCACCUUUUGUAGACCUGGAUAUCUCUCUGAGUGCUAGUCACKCAGGUUUGAGGAUUGACNNUGUGUCUCUCUUUACAUUUCCAGGCCUAUGUUCUUCAUAUACCCCAAUGUAUGUCAUAGAAUGUAAUCAACGGCCUUUGUGCCUAUAAACCUAUACAACUUUCAGCAACGGAUCUCUUGGCUCUCGCAUCGAUGAAGAACGCAGCGAAAUGCGAUAAGUAAUGUGAAUUGCAGAAUUCAGUGAAUCAUCGAAUCUUUGAACGCACCUUGCGCUCCUUGGUAUUCCGAGGAGCAUGCCUGUUUGAGUGUCAUUAAUAUAUCAACCUCUUCAGCUUUUGCUUGUUGAGUGUUGGAUGUGGGGGUCUUUUUGCUGGCCUUCUAAGGUCAGCUCCCCUGAAAUGCAUUAGCAGAACAAAUUGUGGAUCGUUCAUUGGUGUGAUAACUAUCUACGCUAUUGACGUGAAGCAGUUCAGCUUCUAACAGUCCAUUGACUUGGACAAAUUUUCAUUAAUGUGACCUCAAAUC